GACUAGGCUAAAUCUGUGUGUGGGAAACUGGUCCAUACAGUAUUUACUGCUUAAGAUCGGCUGAGAGAGUAAGGGGACCAGACAGUGUGAAGGGGACUUGGCUUGGGACAGGAAGAGGACCAGGCAGUGAAGAGACUUGGCUUGGGACAGGAAGGGGAUCAGACAGUGUGAAGAGGACUUGGCUUGGGACAGGAAGAGGACCAGGCAGUGAAGAGACUUGGCUUGGGACAGGAAGGGGACGAGGCAGUGUGAGGGGACCAGACAGUGUGAAGGGACUUGGCUUGGGACAGGAAGAGGACCAGGCAGUGAAGAGACUUGGCUUGGGACAGGAAGGGGACCAGGCAGUGUGAGGGGACCAGACAGUGUGAAGGGACUUGGUUUGGGACAGGAAGGGGACCAGGAAGUGAAUAGACUUGGCUUGGGACAGGAAGGGGACCAUACAGUGUGAAGGGACUUAGUUUGGAACAGGAAGGGGACCAGGCAGUGAAUAGACUUGGCUUGGUACAGGAAGGGGACCAGACAGUGUGAAGGGACUUAGUUUGGAACAGGAAGGGGACCAGGCAGUGAAUAGUCUUGGCUUGGUACAGGAAGGGGACCAGACAGUGUGAAGGGACUUGGUUUGGGACAGGAAGGGGACCAGGAAGUGAAGAGACUUGGCUUGGGACAGGAAGGGGACCAGACAGUGUGAAGGGACUUGGUUUGGGACAGGAAGGGGACCAGGAAGUGAAGAGACUUGGCUUGGG
Molecule: long non-coding RNA, 743 nt
Filed under: Salmo salar (Atlantic salmon)
Lineage: Eukaryota; Metazoa; Chordata; Actinopteri; Salmoniformes; Salmonidae
Description: lncRNA (ENSSSAG00000105335.1)
Source: RNAcentral